CGGUUGACUGUGCAAAAUCUUCGGAUGAGCUGUGGUAAGAAGUGAAAAGCUAAUCGAGCUUGGUAAUAGCUGGUUCUCUCCGAAAUAACUUUAGGGUUAGCGUUUUGCGUUAAUGAUUCCGGGGGUAGAGCACUGACAGAAAUAUCGCGGGGAAACUCAGAUAUUUCCAUCAAACUCCGAAUACCGGAAUUAUUGCAAAGCAGUAAGACUACGGGCGCUAAGGUCCGUGGUCGUGAGGGGAAAAGCCCAGAUCUUCGUCUAAGGUCCUUAAAUUAAGCUAAGUGCAAAACAAGGAAGUGAAGUUCCUCUGAUAGCUAGGAGGUUAGCUCAGAAGCAGCUAUCCUUUAAANNGUGCGUAACAGCUUACUAGCUAAGGAAUUUUGCGCCGUAAAUACACGGGGCUCAAGCUUAAUACCGAAGACAAGGGUUUCCCGCAUUUAUGCGGGGAGCGGUAGGAGAGCGUUCCCAAUGCGGCGAAGCCGAACCGUAAGGUUUGGUGGAGCGUUGGGAAGUGAGAAUGUUGGCAUGAGUAACCGCAAUGCGGGUGAGAUCCCCGCACACCGAAAACCCAAGGUUUCCGCGGCAAUGGUGAUCAUCCGCGGGUUAGGCGGUCCUAAGGUCAAGCCGAGAGGCGCAGCCGAUGGACAUUCGGUUAAUAUUCCGAUCCUUCCUUUUUUUGCCGAGAGAGUGACGAAGUUUAGUAAUCCGAGCGGGUUAUUGGAUUCCCGUCGGCAGUUCGACUCCCGAUUCCGAGCGCAAGCGAGGGAAAGGGAACAGGAUUGACGAAAAGUCCCGGUUCGCCGGGGCGGAUUCGGACCAGCAAACUUCCCGGAAAAACCUCUCAAGGGUUAUCAAAAAAAGGGAACCGUACCGUAAACCGACACAGGUGGGUCGGCGUGAAAACGCCAAGGUGAACGGAUGAAAGUUCGUGAAGGAACUAGGCAAACAAGUAUGCGUAACUUCGGAAUAUGCAUUCCCCCCACUUCGGUGGGGGGCGCAGCGAAAGACUCUCAGGCGGCUGUUUAUCAAAAACACAGGUCCCUGCUAAACUCGCAAGAGGAAAUAUAGGGGCUGAGACCUGACCAGUGCCCGUGUGUCAAAACUGGCGGUGGUAUCGUCGCAAGACGGUAUCGCUAACCGGUCUAAGCUACGGGUGAACGUCCGCGGUAACUCUGACCGUGUUAAAGUAGCGUAGUCCCUUGUCGCGUAAGUUGCGACCCGCAUGAAAGGUAUAACGACCUGAGAACUGUCUCCACGAAUUAUCCGGUGAAAAUGUAAUGGAAGUGAAGAUACUUCCUACCUGCGGCUAGACGGAAAGACCCCGGGAGCUUUACUGCAGGGUGAUAUUGGGUUUUGGAUUUUGAUGCGUAGCAUAGUGGUGAGGCGUUGAGAUCUCGUUUUCGGACGGGGUGGAGCCGACAGUGAAAUAGCCAUCUUCAAUAUUCAUCAUCCUAAUCCUAAGGGUGACAGUGUCACUUGGGCAGUUUAAGUGGGGCGCUUGCCUCCUAAAAAGUAACGGAGGCGUUUAAAGGUCAGCUAAGCACGGAUGGAAAUCGUGCGUGUCGCGUAAAGGCAAAAGCUGGCUUGACUGCAAGGCGGAUGUGCCGCGCAGGCGCGAAAGCGGAACUUAGUGAACCGAUGCUGGUUAUUAGAAUCGGCAGAGAUUAUCAAACAAAAGUUACCCCGGGGAUAACAGGCUGGUACGACCCACGAGUCCAUAUCAACGGUCGUGUUCGGCACCUCGAUGUCGGCUCAUCAUAGCGCGGGGGUGGAGAAGCUCCCAAGCGUCCGGCUGUUCGCCGGUUAAAAUGGUACGUGAGCUGGGUUCAGACCGUCGCGAGACAGGUCGGUCCCUAUCUACCGCAGGCGUUUGAGUUUUGAGGAGAGUCGUCCCUAGUACGAGAGGACCGGGAUGAACUGACCUCUGGUGUACCGGUUGUUCCGCCAGGAGCACCGCCGGGUAGCUAAGUCGGGAACGGAUAAGAACUGAAAGCAUCUAAGUUCGAAGCCGGCUCCAAGAUAAGAACUCUCAGUUUCCUCCAAGAACAGGAGGUUGAUAGGCUGCAGGUGUAAGUCCCGCAAGGGAUUCAGCCGAGCAGUACUAAUAAACGAUCAAACGCCU
Molecule: ribosomal RNA, 2122 nt
Filed under: Patescibacteria group bacterium UBA6102
Lineage: Bacteria
Description: bacterial LSU rRNA
Rfam family: Bacterial large subunit ribosomal RNA
Source: RNAcentral